UACGAAGGGUGCAAGCGUUGUUCGGAAUCAUUGGGCGUAAAGCGCGCGCAGGCGGAUUAGUAAGUCAGAUGUGAAAUCUCGGAGCUCAACUCCGAAACUGCGUCUGAAACUACUAGUCUAGAAUGUCGGAGGGGGCAGGGGAAUUUCACGUGUAGGGGUAAAAUCCGUAGAGAUGUGAAGGAACACCGGAGGCGAAGGCGCCUGCCUGGACGACUAUUGACGCUGAGGCGCGAAAGCGUGGGGAGCAAACAGG
Molecule: ribosomal RNA, 253 nt
Filed under: uncultured bacterium
Lineage: Bacteria
Description: partial 16S ribosomal RNA
Rfam family: Bacterial small subunit ribosomal RNA
Source: RNAcentral